Non-coding RNA from Potamilus streckersoni, 82 nucleotides. NCBI's taxonomy places the organism in Eukaryota, Metazoa, Mollusca, Bivalvia, Unionida, Unionidae. The record is from the annotation of a GenBank genome assembly.
GAUUAUACAGCUCCGGUGAUCUAUUAGUUAGAGCGUCCGCCUCGGAUGCAGGAGGUCGUGGGUUCGAGCCCCAGCCGAAUCA